Long non-coding RNA from Podarcis raffonei (Aeolian wall lizard), 834 nucleotides. RefSeq lists it as uncharacterized. The transcript has 3 exons. NCBI's taxonomy places the organism in Eukaryota, Metazoa, Chordata, Lepidosauria, Squamata, Lacertidae. The record is from RefSeq and is a predicted model, not a curated record.
UCUAUUUAUGGUGUUUAUACAUUGCCCAAAUAGCCAUAUCCUUGGGGCAGUUCACAAAUUCAUUUACCUGUAAUGAGAUGGAUAUUCAAUUCAUAUGACUUUUUAUUCUUGUUCUACAGCAUGAUCCUGUUCUAUGCUAGGAUUCUCAAAUGUGAAGCAAAUCUCUCUAGAAGACAUAAGCUAUUGGCAAGGGGGUUGUUAAUAGCAAACACGUCUGCUUCAGACUACUGCUUUGGGAAGUAGGAACAGCCCAGAUGUGCUGCAAGUUAUGUCUCUGCAGGCUGAAGAAGAAAAGAAUGCUGCAGUUAGCAUUCAGAAAGUUAUCUCUCCAGUAGGAACAACUUUCUGUAUGAAGACUUGCAUUCUAUACAAACUGGUAGCUUGAAAGAACACCCCCAGCCAUCACACACCAGGAAAGGUUCCUGCUCACCACUAAUGAGUUGAUUCUCUUCCAAUCAUGUCUUUGAGGCUUUCAGCAGAUGUCACCUCAUGAAUACAUUGACUGCAUCAGGGGUUUGCAAGCACAACUACAGCACAACUUCUGCACAUGAUUUCGCUUCCAGAAAAUCUAACAGAGAAAGGGAAGACUUGACUCCAUCAUGGGCUGAGCAAUUUCCAGCUGCUUGGCCCCACGCACUUGCCUCAAAGGAAAUUCAGUGGGUUCUGCUGCCUAAUAGGCAGAGGUCAAAGCUCAGCACCAGAGAAGACCAAGGAGGAGGGCUCAACAUGCCAAAUGAAUAAUCCUGGCACGAUGAUAUUUCUGUUACAAACCUGAAUGUAAUUUUUAGGCUGAAAAUCCCUUGUAAUCCCUUGAGAACCUGUCAGAGCUAUAUA